This 441-nucleotide ribosomal RNA is filed under the name uncultured bacterium. RNAcentral describes it as "partial 16S ribosomal RNA". It matches the Rfam family "Bacterial small subunit ribosomal RNA", at positions 338 to 795 of the family's 1533-position model. The record is from RNAcentral.
CCUACGGGUGACAGCAGUGGGGAAUAUUGCACAAUGGGGGCAACCCUGAUGCAGCGACGCCGCGUGAGUGAAGAAGUAAUUCGUUAUGUAAAGCUCUAUCAGCAGGGAAGAAAAUGACGGUACCUGAGUAAGAAUCCCCGGCUAACUACGUUCCAGCAGCCGCGGUUAUACGUCGGGGGCAAGCGUUAUCCGGAUUUACUGGGUGUAAAGGGAGCGUAGAAGGCAGUGCAAGUCUGGAGUGAAAGGCGGGGGGUCAACCCCCGGACUUGUAUGGAAACUGUACGGCUGGAGUGAAGGAGGGGUAAGUGGAAUUCCGAGGGUAGCGGGUAAAUGGGUAGAUAUUAGGAGGAAAACCAGUGGCGAAGGCGGCUUACUGGACUGUAACUGACGUUGAGGGUCGAAAGCGUGGGGAGCAAACAGGAUUAGAUACCCCUGGUAGUC